RNAcentral lists this ribosomal RNA (469 nucleotides) under uncultured bacterium. Its description in RNAcentral is "partial 16S ribosomal RNA". It matches the Rfam family "Bacterial small subunit ribosomal RNA", at positions 28 to 507 of the family's 1533-position model. The record is from RNAcentral.
GAUGAACGCUGGCGGCGUGCUUAACACAUGCAAGUCGAACGGUGAACACGGAGCUUGCUCUGUGGGAUCAGUGGCGAACGGGUGAGUAACACGUGAGCAACCUGCCCCUGACUCUGGGAUAAGCGCUGGAAACGGCGUCUAAUACUGGAUAUGUGACGUGACCGCAUGGUCUGCGUUUGGAAAGAUUUUUCGGUUGGGGAUGGGCUCGCGGCCUAUCAGCUUGUUGGUGAGGUAAUGGCUCACCAAGGCGUCGACGGGUAGCCGGCCUGAGAGGGUGACCGGCCACACGGGGACUGAGACACGGCCCAGACUCCUACGGGAGGCAGCAGUGGGGAAUAUUGCACAAUGGGCGCAAGCCUGAUGCAGCAACGCCGCGUGAGGGAUGACGGCCUUCGGGUUGUAAACCUCUUUUAGCAGGGAAGAAGCGAAAGUGACGGUACCUGCAGAAAAAGCGCCGGCUAACUACGUG